UACGUAGGGUGCAAGCGUUGUCCGGAAUUAUUGGGCGUAAAGAGCUUGUAGGCGGUUUGUCGCGUCUGCUGUGAAAUUUCGGGGCCCAACCCCGAACUUGCAGUGGGUACGGGCAGACUAGAGUGUGGUAGGGGAGACUGGAAUUCCUGGUGUAGCGGUGAAAUGCGCAGAUAUCAGGAGGAACACCGAUGGCGAAGGCAGGCCUCUGGGCCACUACUGACGCUGAGAAGCGAAAGCAUGGGGAGCGAACAGG
RNAcentral lists this ribosomal RNA (253 nucleotides) under uncultured bacterium. RNAcentral describes it as "partial 16S ribosomal RNA". It matches the Rfam family "Bacterial small subunit ribosomal RNA", at positions 524 to 776 of the family's 1533-position model. The record is from RNAcentral.